UCCCUGGUGGCUCAGAGGGUAGAGUGUCUGCCUGCAAUGCAGGAGACCUGGGUUCGAUCCCUGGGUUGGGAA
RNAcentral lists this transfer RNA (72 nucleotides) under Ovis aries (sheep). It matches the Rfam family "tRNA". From Rfam's summary of the family: Transfer RNA (tRNA) molecules are approximately 80 nucleotides in length. Their secondary structure includes four short double-helical elements and three loops (D, anti-codon, and T loops). Lineage: Eukaryota; Metazoa; Chordata; Mammalia; Artiodactyla; Bovidae. The record is from Rfam by way of RNAcentral.